This 753-nucleotide ribosomal RNA is filed under the name uncultured bacterium. RNAcentral's name for it is "bacterial SSU rRNA". It matches the Rfam family "Bacterial small subunit ribosomal RNA", at positions 33 to 773 of the family's 1533-position model. The record is from RNAcentral.
ACGCUGGCGGUAGGCCUAACACAUGCAAGUCGAACGGCAGCACAGUAAGAGCUUGCUCUUAUGGGUGGCGAGUGGCGGACGGGUGAGGAAUACAUCGGAAUCUACCUUUUCGUGGGGGAUAACGUAGGGAAACUUACGCUAAUACCGCAUACGACCUUCGGGUGAAAGCAGGGGACCUUCGGGCCUUGCGCGGAUAGAUGAGCCGAUGUCGGAUUAGCUAGUUGGCGGGGUAAAGGCCCACCAAGGCGACGAUCCGUAGCUGGUCUGAGAGGAUGAUCAGCCACACUGGAACUGAGACACGGUCCAGACUCCUACGGGAGGCAGCAGUGGGGAAUAUUGGACAAUGGGCGCAAGCCUGAUCCAGCCAUACCGCGUGGGUGAAGAAGGCCUUCGGGUUGUAAAGCCCUUUUGUUGGGAAAGAAAAGCAGUCGAUUAAUACUCGGUUGUUCUGACGGUACCCAAAGAAUAAGCACCGGCUAACUUCGUGCCAGCAGCCGCGGUAAUACGAAGGGUGCAAGCGUUACUCGGAAUUACUGGGCGUAAAGCGUGCGUAGGUGGUUGUUUAAGUCUGUUGUGAAAGCCCUGGGCUCAACCUGGGAAUUGCAGUGGAUACUGGGCGACUAGAGUGUGGUAGAGGGUAGUGGAAUUCCCGGUGUAGCAGUGAAAUGCGUAGAGAUCGGGAGGAACAUCCAUGGCGAAGGCAGCUACCUGGACCAACACUGACACUGAGGCACGAAAGCGUGGGGAGCAAAC